CAUAGGUUAAUGAGGCGAACCGGGGGAACUGAAACAUCUAAGUACCCCGAGGAAAAGAAAUCAACCGAGAUUCCCCCAGUAGCGGCGAGCGAACGGGGAGCAGCCCAGAGCCUGAAUCAGUGUGUGUGUUAGUGGAAGCGUCUGGAAAGGCGCGCGAUACAGGGUGACAGCCCCGUACACAAAAAUGCACAUACUGUGAGCUCGAUGAGUAGGGCGGGACACGUGGUAUCCUGUCUGAAUAUGGGGGGACCAUCCUCCAAGGCUAAAUACUCCUGACUGACCGAUAGUGAACCAGUACCGUGAGGGAAAGGCGAAAAGAACCCCGGCGAGGGGAGUGAAAAAGAACCUGAAACCGUGUACGUACAA
This 366-nucleotide ribosomal RNA is filed under the name Escherichia coli. Its description in RNAcentral is "partial 23S ribosomal RNA". It matches the Rfam family "Bacterial large subunit ribosomal RNA", at positions 165 to 569 of the family's 2925-position model. Lineage: Bacteria; Pseudomonadati; Pseudomonadota; Gammaproteobacteria; Enterobacterales; Enterobacteriaceae. The record is from RNAcentral.